This 2411-nucleotide long non-coding RNA is filed under the name Marmota monax (woodchuck). Lineage: Eukaryota; Metazoa; Chordata; Mammalia; Rodentia; Sciuridae. The record is from RNAcentral.
CUUUUCCAGGAUCACACUGUAAAGUGAAGCCUCUGCUGGGGUGCAAACGAGGAGGGAGAGCCAUGCAGUGGUUCCAGGGUAUGCCACAGUGAUUGCCAGAGGAGACACGGACUUGCGAAGGUAAACUCACCCAUUGCACCUUGGUCCUAAGAGGCAUGCGUUGCUCAGCAGUUGGUUUCCCAAGCUAAUGCUGUUUUUCUAUUUGUCAAAGCAAGCCCUACAACUGUACAUUGAUCUUUGGGAUAAUUCAGGUGACUGACCUACCAAAUUCAGGUAUCAAACCAAUCUAUGUCACAAUUAUUAAUUACUUGCCCUUCAGUGGUGUGGGUCUUUCAAAUUUGCACUCCUGGCAUUAGGCACUGGAUAAGUCUGUGUCUCAUCCAGCGGGCAGAGGAGGUCCUGCUGUGGAGUGGGAUGUUUAGCUGCUUCUGUGGUCUUGACCCUCCAGAGGCCAAGAGUACCACCCACACCCCUAAUCAUGAACAUUAUAAAGUCUCCAGACAUUGCCAAAUGUCCCCAGAGUGGGGUAGGUGAGGGAGGGGAGUCACUCUUAGUUGGGAACCAUUUCCCUUUGGCAUUUUUUUUUUAAUUCAUCCUUUGCUUCUGUGUAGUUCCCCAAGCUCUAGAUGGGACUUCCCGAUCAUUUGUCAAGUAAUCAACACUUAGCUGUUAUUACACAGAGCUCUUCAGAGGAAAGGUUUUCAAAUGAAUGGACAAUAGACAAUUCGUGUCUGAUAUGGCGAUUGCAUUGAAGACAGUGCCUUUGAGAAGGUGGCUUGUCACAUGGAUAUCAAUUCCCUUAGCCAACUGUGUCCAGGAGUUGUUAUGGGCCGGGAAACUCAAUCUCCUUGCUCCCUUUACAAUUCUGCCUAUCCGGACAGGUUACGCAGAGGUCUUUUUAAAAUGAGAACCUUUAUGUUUGUUGGAAUACAUGGCCGAGAGGAUCUGGGGCUGAAAGCGGGCUUCUGGAACAAAACCCCCAAUGCAGGGCAGGGGAAAGGAUGCCCAUUAUGGGGUGUUGUGAGGAGGCAGCGACACCCUGUAAUGGGAGAGAGCUGGAAAAUGGGGUUCUGUCCUCUGUCUGGGGAUUCUGGCUGAUAAAGAUUGAACAUGGCUGGCAACUCUCAAAUGUCAAGAGGUGAAAUCCCAGGGAAAAGGUGUACUUCAUUCUCCUGCAGAGAGGACUAUGAAAUAAAAAGAACAAGACUCUAAAGAGCCCUUGAAGCUCUAAUUUCUGGAGAAAAACAACAUUUCCCUGCCAUCUUAGUAGCUCCUGGGAAGCCUACGGUACUGGCUGGAGGCGGCCAUGAAGAGGAGUAACAACAGGUCCAAGGCACUGGCAAUGAAUCUCAACUUGAACAUCCGAAGCAUCAGCAAGUGGAGGGGAAUAGAAAUCCCUGGGACAAGUUCACCAGGAAGCACCGUGCAGGAAGAGACCGACCCCAUAGCAAAGCUUCCUGGGAUCAAGUGACAUAUAAUCCUGGUUGUUCUCAAAAUGGAUGCUUCCUUCUCCUGGAUUCCUACUCAAACCAGGAUGGACUUACUCAGUUUACAUAUUUAAGGACAGGCAGCCAGUACCCUGACCUUAUAAAGGGGCAUGGAUGAAAGAGGACUCUGUUGCUUCUCGAGGGGAAUUCCACGUCUCCUGAGCUCAUGUUUAGCCGUGUUCCAACUGUGUGCUAAACAUACAGUCCACGUACGACCGAUUAGCCAAAAUACUGAUCUGAGGUCUGGGGGUCUUCUGAUCCCUCCACCAGCUCGUCCCUCUUUCCUACCUCUGCUCAGUGGCAACACUUGUAUUUGAUCUCUGCUUAUUGCCCUCACUGGGCUGAGUUGUGUCUUUCCCUUGGAUGCUGAGCUUGGAUUUGCUUUUUAAGUCAUAGUAUUUUCCUCUGCUGUCACCUAAGGCAGGUCCCAGGCCACACGGCCUGUUCUAGGGCAUUGCCACUCAAUGUGUGGUCCCCAGAUCUGCUUACUUGUCCUCCAUGGGAUAAAUAUAGAAAUCAAGGGUAAGCUAUUCAAAACUUUUAAUAAGGACCUGAUAGAGCAAUUUUUAUAAAUUUAUAAUUUUUGUAACGAUCUAAUUAAAUCUGAUCUAUUAUUUAGAUAUUAAUCUAAUGAAAUCUAAUAAUAACACAAAUCGGACUUUUGCGUUUCUUUUCACCCCCACCCCUGGUAAUUCAUUUGGAAAAUAUUUUACAAAUUUUGGUCUUGUAAGGAUCAAGAAAAACAAACUUGCUUUCUAUGUACAUAGUUCGAGAAGCAGAGGUCUGGGGACCCCAUCUGGUUGCCAGACCCCAGAUGACCUCAUCUUUAGUCCUCCAUUUGAUCUCUCUAGUUAUUUCCAAGCACAGAGGCCAAGGAUGACCAAAGCUGCUCUUCAGAGAGGAUGGCCUCUGAUCACUCUGAGC